CGGAUAAGGAGCUUGCUCCUUUGAAGUUAGCGGCGGACGGGUGAGUAACACGUGGGUAACCUACCUAUAAGACUGGAAUAACUUCGGGAAACCGGAGCUAAUGCCGGAUAACAUUUGGAACCGCAUGGUUCUAAAGUAAAAGAUGGUUUUGCUAUCACUUAUAGAUGGACCCGCGCCGUAUUAGCUAGUUGGUAAGGUAACGGCUUACCAAGGCAACGAUACGUAGCCGACCUGAGAGGGUGAUCGGCCACACUGGAACUGAGACACGGUCCAGACUCCUACGGGAGGCAGCAGUAGGGAAUCUUCCGCAAUGGACGAAAGUCUGACGGAGCAACGCCGCGUGAGUGAUGAAGGUUUUCGGAUCGUAAAACUCUGUUAUUAGGGAAGAACAAAUGUGUAAGUAACUGUGCACAUCUUGACGGUACCUAAUCAGAAAGCCACGGCUAACUACGUGCCAGCAGCCGCGGUAAUACGUAGGUGGCAAGCGUUAUCCGGAAUUAUUGGGCGUAAAGCGCGCGUAGGCGGUUUCUUAAGUCUGAUGUGAAAGCCCACGGCUCAACCGUGGAGGGUCAUUGGAAACUGGGAAACUUGAGUACAGAAGAGGAAAGUGGAAUUCCAUGUGUAGCGGUGAAAUGCGCAGAGAUAUGGAGGAACACCAGUGGCGAAGGCGACUUUCUGGUCUGUAACUGACGCUGAUGUGCGAAAGCGUGGGGGAUCAAACAGGAUUAGAUACCCUGGGUAGUCCACGCCGUAAACGAUGAGUGCUAAGUGUUAGGGGGGUUUCCGCCCCUUAGGUG
This 797-nucleotide ribosomal RNA is filed under the name Staphylococcus equorum. Its description in RNAcentral is "bacterial SSU rRNA". It matches the Rfam family "Bacterial small subunit ribosomal RNA", at positions 67 to 845 of the family's 1533-position model. The record is from RNAcentral. Lineage: Bacteria; Bacillati; Bacillota; Bacilli; Caryophanales; Staphylococcaceae.